GGGUAUAUAGCUCAGUGGUAGAGCGCAUGCUGAGCAUUGAUGAAGUCCUGGGUUCGAUCCCCAUUGCCUCCA
This 72-nucleotide transfer RNA is filed under the name Camelus bactrianus (Bactrian camel). It matches the Rfam family "tRNA". From Rfam's summary of the family: Transfer RNA (tRNA) molecules are approximately 80 nucleotides in length. RNAcentral also lists the same sequence under 2 other names. Lineage: Eukaryota; Metazoa; Chordata; Mammalia; Artiodactyla; Camelidae. The record is from Rfam by way of RNAcentral.